GGGGAUUUAGCUCAGUGGUAGAGCGCUUGCCUAGCAAGCGCAAGGCCCUGGGUUCGGUCCUCAGCUCUG
This 69-nucleotide transfer RNA is filed under the name Mus musculus (house mouse). RNAcentral describes it as "tRNA-Ala". Lineage: Eukaryota; Metazoa; Chordata; Mammalia; Rodentia; Muridae. The record is from RNAcentral.